GGGACUUUCAAAAAAUAAAGGUGGCAGAGUAAAGAAAGGAUGAGAAAGCUACCCGUUUACCAACAAAGGUAACCAACUUACAUCCAGUGUACGCUGGUUCUCUGGCACCUUUUGGUCAAAUCAAUUCUAUGGGGUUAAAUGACGAAUAAUAGAAUUUGUAGAUCCAACUAAAGAAGAUGAAGCCUUUUCCAGGAUCAUUACAGGAACAAAGGGUGUGUAAGAGAGAGCCAUCGUAAGUCACAAAGGGAGACCCCUGGGACAGUGAAGAGCGUUCGUGGGUGAGCCGGAAAGGGGUAGGGAGUCCGAACGUCCGCUGACACUGUUUGUUUCAUGGGAACUGUAAUUAAUUGCAAAGAAAGGAAAUAUUUCUUAUUUGGCCCCUUCUUGCCUGGCACAGAUCCCUUACUCCUGUCGAACAGCACCUGAGCACAAGUCAUACAUCACAAGAGAAAAAGAACACUGACGCUGUUCCGUCUCCGCAUUUGAACCGCUGUUAACGCAAGCGAUGAAAAGGGAAUUGUCUUCCCCAGCUAGCUCAGUGCAAAGACAAUUGUAUGAGGCAUUUUUCGUACAUUACAGAAUGGAAACUGAAAUACACAAGAGUGUCAGUAACAUCCGAAGUCUCCGGGGAAAGAGCAGUCGAAUUUGGGAGAGACGAUCUGCCGGCCUGGCUCAGGAGCCCCGCCCUGAAGCGCUCCCUUUUCAUCUAUGUCCCAAACAUCUACAUGGAGUACAUGUUGGAGGAACUCUAAGAACCAAUUAAAUUUCAGCUCAGAACUGCAGAGUGAGUACAGAUACUUGUUAUAUCUCUGCCUCCAGUUUUACUGAAACCACUACAAAGACAAACUAAAGAAUAAAUCAGUAACAAAAAGAAUGGAAAUAGACUUGUAUGUUCCGCUAUUUCCUGGAAUUCAGAAAGUGGAUGGAGGGCUGGCAAGAUGAAGAACAGACAGACUGAAGCGGACCCUAGCCCCAGAACUGCUCUGAUAGGGUGCGGGGGUGGGAACUGCUCUUCCUCGGUACCAGCAUCUCUGGGUCAGAAGUCUGGUGCAGGAGGGCGGAGCUAGGAGGAGGCUAAACACAGGGAUUUAAACAUUGGAAGUGUGUUAAGGAAACACCUGUGUCGUCCACCCUGCUUCACAAGGGUAAAGGAGCCGGGACCCACAGAUACAUGGAUGACUCCUAGGAAGAGCUCCGGGCUAAGGAUGAGGACCGCUGCUCUUGAUUUUAGUUGCUGAAGGCGUCCCCAGCAGAACUUGAGUCUCCCUACAGAUGCAGCCUAACGGAAGAUAACCCAAACCCUCCUCAUGCAGAACAAGGGCACGUAAGAGAACCAGGAACGUCUGUGUAACAACAGAGAAACAUCGGGAUCAGUACUCGUAAAAAUACUUAGUUCUAAAUUAUGAAUAAAAAAUAAAAAUUCCUGGAUAUACAUGGGAAACAGUAAUUCUGGGCGUGGGGUGGGGAGACAGAGAGGGACAGAGACAGAGAGAAACUGCCCCUGAAAAACCAGAGAUAAUCCUGAAGCAGCCAGUCCUCCCUUUCCAAGCUUCUGUUAAGCAUGAAUGUCAUUUACAACAGUGUAGGUAAAUUACACCAGUCCACCCACACAGUUCAAGCACCCAUCGCCAUGACUGUCACUGCACGAAGCACAAACUGCACAAUUCCACCCACAAGUAACUAAGUAAACAGCACACACACAACUCUCCUUCACGUUACUUCUUUCGAAGCCCAGCAACUGGUCACUGCAGUUAUCCAGGGCUCGGAGACAGCCACGACAGCAAGUGUGUAGCUGUGCUGCCGCCUCACUCCCCAGCCAUAAAUGUUCGCGACAUCUCACAAAAACAGGACAGGAGAUCAGCCAGUAAAGACGAAAAUGCAUCGAAGAAACAACUGACACAAACAUAAACAGACAAAACACUUCAUCACUGCUGACACUGGCAACACUUGGAGGUUCAGACGGGUGCCCAGCAGAAGCAACCUGGUUGGCUGCAGUGAGCGAAGCAGUUAGCUCUGCGUGUCCCCGAUCCCACGCACGGGUGUACCUCAACCGCAGACUGAAAAUGUCCGGAAUAAAUGCGUACGUACCAACCCUCUGAAGACUGCCAUUCCCUAGGCAAUGCAGAUACUCACAGCAUUUUAUGAUGUAUUACAAGUAACGGAGAAACAGAUCAUUUAAAAUAUGAGAUGCAGCUUAUAUGUGAACGUCUUUUCAUAGAAGAGACUUGAGCAUUUGUACACGGAAGCAUCUCCAGGGCCCUAGAAACAAUCCCCACGGAUGCUGAGUACGACUGCACUGGUUAACAGGAAGAAUGAAGGUGUCCCAGAGGGGGCGCCCUCAACAACUUCCUGUUAUCUGGAAAUAUUUCACCAGCUUAAAGGCAAAAAGGACAACAUGUUGGAAGCUGAUUCAGUUACAAGGGUAACACGUUGUCAAGACAGAACAAAAUGCUUACAUAUACAAAGCAGCACUGGUCAAACUGAUGAGGUAACAAAGAAAUAGAAUAAUUUUCAACGUUAAUGUUAACUGCACUCAAUAUUAGUUUUGCUUUAUUAUUCUUCAUUUUCCUUUAUAUUUAUAACUGUCAUUUUAAAGUCUUGAAAAAAAUUAUAAAGGGCAUAGAAAAAUGUCCUUCCCAUUAAGUUUGCUUUUUAUUUGUCUUUUUGAGACUGGGUUUCUAUAAGAAAAUACUUAUAGAACAUACACAAAAGGGAACGAGGGGAGCCAAAGCACGACACACAAAGAUCAUGAAAUGCAAAGGAGGCACCUUAAGAAAGUCACAAAAAGGCUCCAGAGAUACAGAAAACAAUGAGCUACUCACAGACUAAUGUAAAUAUAUUAAACUCCCCAAUCAGAAGACACAGAUUGGAUGAAUGGAUUUGCAAAGACGGAACUAUAUUCCAUCUGCAGAGACUCCCUUAAGAUGUAAGGGUGCACACAGGCUGAACAUGAAAAAGACACUCCACGCAAGUGGGAAACACGCUGGCCACACGAGUGUCAGAAAAAAAUAUUUGAAAACGCUGUCACAGGAGACAAAAGGACUUAAAACAUAAAAUGUCAGUCUACCAAGCAGAUACAGUUAUAAACAUCCAAGCACCAAACAUCAGGGCCACCAAAUAUACGAAGCACACGCUGACAGAACUGAAAAGAGAAAGACACACAAGGUUGCAGCAGACUUCGGAUCCCUUUUCAGUAAUGUGCAGGACGAUGAGAUCAGGAAGGAGCAGCUUCAGAAAUACUACAAAUCCAUUAGGCCUGCAAGAUACACACAAAACGCUGUACCCAGAAAUGGCAGAGUACACACUCUUUCUCAAGCACAUGGAAAACUAUCCAGGACAGACCACAAGUCAAGCCAUGAAAUAAGAUUUAACUAAUUUAAGAAAACUGAAAUCAUAUGAAGCAUCUUUUUCAACCACAAUGGAAUAAAAAUAGAAAUAGCCAAAGGAAAACUAAACAAUACACACUUACGUGGAAAUAAAACAAAAAAGGACUCAAAGAGAAACAAGAAAAUAUCCUGAGACAAGUCAAAAUGAGAACAGCAUGGAAUGCAGCAAUACCAGUAAUGAGGGAGUAUUACAGCUGCAAAUGUUCAUAUAAAAAAAGACCUCAAAUAAAUAAUCUAAUUUUAUACCUCAGAAAACUAAAUAAAGGAGAAAAAAGUAAAUCCAAA
Long non-coding RNA from Chinchilla lanigera (long-tailed chinchilla), 3671 nucleotides. RefSeq lists it as uncharacterized. The transcript is spliced from 3 exons. NCBI's taxonomy places the organism in Eukaryota, Metazoa, Chordata, Mammalia, Rodentia, Chinchillidae. The record is from RefSeq and is a predicted model, not a curated record.